CUAUACAAAAAGCAUUAGGAUUCAUCAGCCUAUACUAUAUUUGUGCCCAUUCUCCAUGUCCGAUAUCGUCAUCUUCAUACUUGUCGAUAUACUGCGAGAAGACCUCGCCAUCCGGAUGGUAAUGACGCCGAAGAUACAUUUUAAAAAGGAAAAUAAUGCCAAUUGGAACUCCAGCACCAACUGCCAUCACCGCCGACUGCGUCUUAAGAGUGGCGGCUAAAGGUUGGUCUGUCAGUAAAGAGAUUAAUUGGAGUCAUAGUACAUCAGCACCAUAGGAAAACUCACUUAAUACCAUGAACAUCUGCAUGAAGACGGUCGCAAUAAGGACGCGAUUUACCAAGAUCUUCCAGCACUUUCCAUCAGUCUCCUUGGAAUCAAAUACAAAUUUAAGCUGGUUAUUGUGCUACCGAGGUGAAGAAGUCAGUCAUCGCGGCGUCAGACGACAUUUUCGGUUUCUCGUUAUGAUCAAACCCACAAUGAUAUAUAGUGUCCAAAAGUAAAUAGCCGCGCAUAUAACAACGAUUGGAGCCAGCGGGGCGUACAUCAGACUAAAAAGUGGUCAGCAAGGACGUAACAGCCUAUCACGGCUUUGCUUACCCUACUACCAUAGCAAAGAGCUAGUUCAAUCGGAAUCAAUAGGGCCCCAUGCAUUAUACAAUGAACUCACC
Molecule: small RNA, 668 nt
Filed under: Cryptococcus neoformans H99
Lineage: Eukaryota; Fungi; Basidiomycota; Tremellomycetes; Tremellales; Cryptococcaceae
Description: Cryptococcus neoformans var. grubii H99 hypothetical RNA
Source: RNAcentral